GUUUUGAGUGACUCUAAAUUUAUAAAAUAAAAUGGAUAAUAAUUUUUGGAGAAUUUUGUAAGUUUGGCAAUAGAUCUAUAGGUGAAAUUUAUAAUAAUUUUUAGGUAAAUAUGUGUUCAAUAUGUACUACAAGUUUGAGCUUGAUGAAAUGGUUGAAUUGACAAUUAUUGAAUUUCAAGUAUGUUGAGGUCUCAAAAAUUAAACUUUGAGAGGCAAUUAGAGCUUCUAAGAUCUUUAGCAAUCUACUAGUUGGAUUGGAGUAAAAUAUAUUUGUGAAGGUUGUAGACUUGAUUUGCUAGACAUAUAUGAAAUUUAAAAUUAUCAAAUGGUUUAAAAAGGAGAUUUUUGUAUUGAGAUUUCAUCAUUUAUGUUUGAGUAGGAGAAUGACUAACACUUAGGUAGAUUUUAGGAUUGAUUUUUUUUUUUGGUGAGUUUGAUCUUAUUCAAUUUUUUUAUCUUGUUGUCAACUUAAUUUUUAAGAGGUAUGCAAAAUUUGAGUUAAAAUUAAUGGUUCAUUCAUUAGUUAUUGAGGUUUAAAUCUAUUAUAGAAAUUACUUAAAAUUUAUUAGGAUUUGGCUAUGUUUGUUUAGAGUUUGACUAGGAUUUGUUUAGGAUUUGACUAGGAUUUAUUUAAGAUUUGACUAGGAUUUACUUAAGAUUUAUUUAAGAUUUGAUCAGGAUUUAUUUAAGAUUUGAUUAGGAUGUGGUUAAGAUUUGUUUAAGAUUUGAUUAAGAUUCAUUUAGGAUUUGAUAAGGAUUUUUCUAGAAUUUGGUUAGGUUUUAUUUAAGAUUCAAUUAGAAUUUAUUUAAGGUUUGAUUAAGAUUUGAUUAGAAUUUUUCUAAGAUUUUACUAAGACUUAUUUAGGAUUUGACUAGGAUUUAUUUAGGAUUUGAUUAAGAUUUGAUUAGAAUUUGUAAAGGAUUUGAUUAGGAUUGAAUUAAGAUUUGAUUAGGAUUUUUUUAGGAUUUGGAUAUGAUUUUAUUUAAGAUUUGAUUAGAGUUUAUUUAGAGUUUGAUAAUAAUAGAUAUAAUUAAAUUUGAUUAUAAUUAAAGAUAAGAAAAUAAUUAUAGACUUAUUGUUGUAAUUUAGACUUAUUGUUGUAAUUAACUCUAAAUAAUUAAAGACUUAUUGUUGUAAUUUUCCUUUUAUCUUCCACAACCAUAUGCUCAGUGUAUUUUCAACCAAACUUCACAUAAUACAAUAACGUACUUUGUUUGUCUAUCAAUGUGAAGAUGAAAGCCAAAGAUAGCUUUAUAUUCACAUUUAAAAUCUUAAAAAAUAUUCUUCAAAAAAUUGAAAUAAAUUAAGCUCCCAUAUUUGAUAUAAUAUCCUUGGACAAUCCAUGAUAGCAAUGGAUAUUGUUAAGAAUAAUCUUAGAUAUUUUUUUUACCAAUAAUAGAUUUUUUAUAUGAUACAAAAUAUCAUAUUAUUAUAAAAUAAUCUAC
Molecule: long non-coding RNA, 1446 nt
Filed under: Physcomitrium patens
Lineage: Eukaryota; Viridiplantae; Streptophyta; Bryopsida; Funariales; Funariaceae
Description: long non-coding RNA (PPAT_LNC010728)
Source: RNAcentral